Molecule: ribosomal RNA, 526 nt
Filed under: marine sediment bacterium BB0608_2216_4.2_2S0
Lineage: Bacteria
Description: bacterial SSU rRNA
Rfam family: Bacterial small subunit ribosomal RNA
Source: RNAcentral
UUGCUACUUUGCUGACGAGCGGCGGACGGGUGAGUAAUGCUUGGGAACAUGCCUUGAGGUGGGGGACAACAGUUGGAAACGACUGCUAAUACCGCAUAAUGUCUACGGACCAAAGGGGGCUUCGGCUCUCGCCUUUAGAUUGGCCCAAGUGGGAUUAGCUAGUUGGUGAGGUAAUGGCUCACCAAGGCGACGAUCCCUAGCUGGUUUGAGAGGAUGAUCAGCCACACUGGGACUGAGACACGGCCCAGACUCCUACGGGAGGCAGCAGUGGGGAAUAUUGCACAAUGGGCGCAAGCCUGAUGCAGCCAUGCCGCGUGUGUGAAGAAGGCCUUCGGGUUGUAAAGCACUUUCAGUCAGGAGGAAAGGGUGGUGGUUAAUACCCGCUAUGUGUGACGUUACUGACAGAAGAAGCACCGGCUAACUCCGUGCCAGCAGCCGCGGUAAUACGGAGGGUGCGAGCGUUAAUCGGAAUUACUGGGCGUAAAGCGUACGCAGGCGGUUUGUUAAGCGAGAUGUGAAAGCCCCG